Molecule: ribosomal RNA, 448 nt
Filed under: uncultured bacterium
Lineage: Bacteria
Description: bacterial SSU rRNA
Rfam family: Bacterial small subunit ribosomal RNA
Source: RNAcentral
CCCAGACUCCUACGGGAGGCAGCAGUGGGGAAUAUUGCACAAUGGGGGGAACCCUGAUGCAGCGACGCCGCGUGAGUGAAGAAGUAUUUCGGUAUGUAAAGCUCUAUCAGCAGGGAAGAAGAUGACGGUACCUGACUAAGAAGCCCCGGCUAACUACGUGCCAGCAGCCGCGGUGAUACGUAGGGGGCAAGCGUUAUCCGGAUUUACUGGGUGUAAAGGGAGCGUAGACGGCAGUGCAAGUCUGGAGUGAAAGGCGGGGGCUCAACCCCCGGACUGCUCUGGAAACUGUACGGCUGGAGUGCAGGAGAGGUAAGUGGAAUUCCUAGUGUAGCGGUGAAAUGCGUAGAUAUUAGGAGGAACACCAGUGGCGAAGGCGGCUUACUGGACUGUAACUGACGUUGAGGCUCGAAAGCGUGGGGAGCAAACAGGAUUAGAUACCCGGGUAGAU